CGGGACUUUGGGGGCGAGAUG
RNAcentral lists this microRNA (21 nucleotides) under Danio rerio (zebrafish). RNAcentral describes it as "dre-miR-193b-5p". Its record names the gene dre-miR-193b-5p. Lineage: Eukaryota; Metazoa; Chordata; Actinopteri; Cypriniformes; Danionidae. The record is from miRBase by way of RNAcentral.